GGGUUCAAUGAGGGAACAAUUCUGG
This 25-nucleotide non-coding RNA is filed under the name Cricetulus griseus (Chinese hamster). Lineage: Eukaryota; Metazoa; Chordata; Mammalia; Rodentia; Cricetidae. The record is from RNAcentral.